GAUCCGGUAGGUAAGGCUACCGCAGGGAUACGGGCUGUUGCCGCAAAACGAUGGAGACAUCGUGCGCAGGUCGAACAGGUCGCGUCGGAACCAAGGCGCGACAUAACACAGCUUCAUUGCCCCGCGAAGUCAAAGCUUGAACGGUCG
RNAcentral lists this small RNA (147 nucleotides) under chicken gut metagenome. Its description in RNAcentral is "M-box riboswitch (ykoK leader)". It matches the Rfam family "M-box riboswitch aptamer (ykoK leader)", at positions 10 to 160 of the family's 169-position model. Rfam says of the family: M-box riboswitch, also know as ykoK leader is described as a metaloregulatory RNA that sense divalent metals and function as a genetic control element of genes related to divalent metal transport in bacteria. The record is from RNAcentral.